This 570-nucleotide ribosomal RNA is filed under the name uncultured bacterium. RNAcentral describes it as "partial 16S ribosomal RNA". It matches the Rfam family "Bacterial small subunit ribosomal RNA", at positions 355 to 914 of the family's 1533-position model. The record is from RNAcentral.
UGGGGAAUUUUGGACAAUGGGCGAAAGCCUGAUCCAGCAAUGCCGCGUGUGUGAAGAAGGCCUUCGGGUUGUAAAGCACUUUUGUCCGGAAAGAAAUCCUUGGCUCUAAUACAGUCGGGGGAUGACGGUACCGGAAGAAUAAGCACCGGCUAACUACGUGCCAGCAGCCGCGGUAAUACGUAGGGUGCAAGCGUUAAUCGGAAUUACUGGGCGUAAAGCGUGCGCAGGCGGUUUGCUAAGACCGAUGUGAAAUCCCCGGGCUCAACCUGGGAACUGCAUUGGUGACUGGCAGGCUAGAGUAUGGCAGAGGGGGGUAGAAUUCCACGUGUAGCAGUGAAAUGCGUAGAGAUGUGGAGGAAUACCGAUGGCGAAGGCAGCCCCUGGGCCAAGUACUGACGCUCAUGCACGAAAGCGUGGGGGAGCAAACAGGAUUAGAUACCCUGGUAGUCCACGCCCUAAAACGAUGUCAACUAGGUUGUUGGGGGAUUCAUUUCCUUAGUAACGUAGCUAACGCGUGAAGUUGACCGCCUGGGGAGUACGGUCGCAAGAUUAAAACUCAAAUGAAUUGAC